RNAcentral lists this ribosomal RNA (487 nucleotides) under uncultured soil bacterium. RNAcentral describes it as "bacterial SSU rRNA". It matches the Rfam family "Bacterial small subunit ribosomal RNA", at positions 26 to 488 of the family's 1533-position model. The record is from RNAcentral.
AGAUUGAACGCUGGCGGCAGGCCUAACACAUGCAAGUCGAGCGGUAGAGAGGUGCUUGCACCUCUUGAGAGCGGCGGACGGGUGAGUAAUGCCUAGGAAUCUGCCUAGUGGUGGGGGAUAACGUUCGGAAACGGACGCUAAUACCGCAUACGUCCUACGGGAGAAAGCGGGGGACCUUCGGGCCUCGCGCCAUUAGAUGAGCCUAGGUCGGAUUAGCUAGUUGGUGAGGUAAUGGCUCACCAAGGCGACGAUCCGUAACUGGUCUGAGAGGAUGAUCAGUCACACUGGAACUGAGACACGGUCCAGACUCCUACGGGAGCAGCAGUGGGAAUAUUGGACAAGUGGGCGAAAGGCCUGAUCCGAGCCAUCGCCGCGUGUGGUAGAAGAAGGUCUUACGGAUUAGUAAAGCUAACGUUUUAAGGUUGGGAAGGUAAAGGUUGGUUAAACUUAAGUACGUUUAGCUAACUUUGACGUUACCGACUAAGAA